AGUUUAGUGAGUUUGAUCCUGGCUCAGAAUGAACGCUUUUGGUAUGCUUUAUACAUGCAAGUCGAACGAAAAAUUAAUUUUCGUGGCGUCCGGGUGAGUAAUUACGUAGAAUGUUACCUUUUAGUCAAGAACAAAGUACUUAGAUUUAAGUAUUAAACUCUUAGAUAGUUAAUAAAAGUAGAAUGUUUUGUUUUAAUGAUAAAAUUAAUCUGCUAAAAGAUAGGUCUGCGAAAGAUUAGGUUGUUGGUUAUUUUAACAGCUAACCAAGCCUACGAUCUUUAGUUGGUCUUAGACGGAUGUACAACCACAUUGGAACUGAAAUAAGGUCCAAGCUGAUUUUUCGGCCAGCAGUAAGGAAUAUUGGACAAUGAACGAAAGUUUGAUCCAGCAAUAUCAAUAUGAAUUAAAAAAUUAUAACUAUUUAGUUAUUUUUGAAGAUCUUUUAUGGUUGUAAGGUUCUUUAGUUAAAAAUGAAAAUGACGUUAUUUAAUCUAAUAAGUCCCGGCUAAUACUCGUGCCAGCAGCCGCGGUAAAACGAGGGGGGCAAGCGUUAUUCGUCUUGACUGGGCGUUAAGGGUUCGUAGACGGUAAAGCAAGUUUUGUGUCAAAGAUUAAAGCUUAACUUUUAUAAACACAAAAUACUACUUUACUUGAGUUUUAUGCAGGAGAAUAUAAUUUUAUAAGUAAGGGUAAAAUCUAACUAUAAAUAAAGGAAUGUUAUAGGCGAAAGCGAUUCUCUAGUAAAAACUGACGUUGAGGGACGAAAGUAUAAGUAGCAAACAGGAUUAGAGACCCUGGUAGUUUAUACUGUAAAUUAUGAAUGCUGUAAUUUAAUGACAUUCUAUGAAAGCGGGGGUAAACCCCCGCCUCAUGCCUUUUUUGAGGCAAAGAGUGAUACAACAGAUCCUGAGAUUGUAUUGUUUUUUCUUGAAAGAGAUCGAUCUUCUUGUUUACUUGGGAGAUCAGCUCAGAAAAUUUCAAGAAGCGCCUCGGUCCUUUGUCUUUUUGGAAGAUGCUCCAAUGAUUCUGACGACGCUUUUGUAAUUUGUUUUGUUAGUACUGUGGCUUAUAUGCAUCACGGUAUUUAACAUCCGAUUAAAAAUUUGUUAAAACUAAGCGUUUUGACCUUGGUGUUGUAACGAAACUUUACUUUGAGCACCCUUUAGCGACUUGUUUGCAUAAAGGGGGAUGUAAAUCCUUAAACCGCUUUCAUAGUAUAAUUCUGUUUUAGAUUUUUUAAGUUAACACUAUAAGCAUUCCGCCUGAGGAGUACGAUCGCAAGGUUGGAACUCAAAGGAAUUGACGGGAGCUUAACACUAGCAGUGGAGCAUGUGGUUUAAUGCGAUAAUCCGCGCAAAAUCUUACCAAUUUUUGACAUUGAAAAUUUUUAUUUAUUUUACUUUUAUAAAAAAUAAAUUUGAAUACAGGUGUUGCACGACUGUCGUCAGCUCGUGUCGUGAGAUGUUUGGUCAAUUCCUUUUAACGAGCGUAACUCUUUUCUUUUCUAUAAUGAUGUUAACAAUUUUUUAGAAAGUUACUCUAAAAAUCGUUUAAAAGAUACAGUCAGUGAUAAACUGAAAAAAGGUGAGAACUAAGUCAAGUCAAUGUGACCCUUAUAAAUUGGGCUACACACGUGCUACAAUGGAAAUUACAAAAAGUUACCGAAAAGUUUUUAGUGAAUCUUAAAAAUUUCCUUAGUACGGAUUGUAUACUGCAACUCGUAUACAUAAAGUUGGAAUUGCUAGUAAUCGCGAAUCAGCAUGUCGCGGUGAACAUGUAAAUUAGCUUUGUACACACCGCCCGUCACAUGCAGAAAGUUAGUUUUACUUGAAGGUUCAUUAUUAUUUUGUGAGCCCAUUGAGAAAUUAAUAAUUUGGAUGAAGUCGUAACAAGGUAGUGGUACGGGAACGUGUCGCUGGAAUUUAUUUUUUUU
RNAcentral lists this ribosomal RNA (1933 nucleotides) under Navicula sp. RNAcentral's name for it is "small subunit ribosomal RNA". It matches the Rfam family "Bacterial small subunit ribosomal RNA". Lineage: Eukaryota; Bacillariophyta; Bacillariophyceae; Naviculales; Naviculaceae. The record is from RNAcentral.